RNAcentral lists this unclassified non-coding RNA (220 nucleotides) under Hevea brasiliensis (rubber tree). The record is from RNAcentral. Lineage: Eukaryota; Viridiplantae; Streptophyta; Magnoliopsida; Malpighiales; Euphorbiaceae.
GGGAAAGGUUCUGUACUCGAAGGUCUUCAUGGCUGGGAGCUCAGACCAACCUUUCGGGGGCCUCGUUUUCCUCGUUGGAUGGAGAAUGGCGUGUCCUCUUUCAACCAGUUCAUUCACGAACUUUCUGUGGACUCUGAUGAUUCAAGCUUAGAUUAUUCCUCUGGGGAGGAAGAUGGUUUUGGAAAUGAAUAUCCUGCAACACCAUCAUCUCAGGGUUCAC